This is an RNA transcript of Eucalyptus grandis, 4277 nucleotides long. It is a transcript of the gene named probable disease resistance protein At5g43730, with no coding region annotated. The transcript is spliced from 4 exons. The record is from RefSeq and is a predicted model, not a curated record. NCBI's taxonomy places the organism in Eukaryota, Viridiplantae, Streptophyta, Magnoliopsida, Myrtales, Myrtaceae.
GCUGCAGCGUCUACGUCCUCAGAUCGCCGGAAGGAUGGAGUCGGCUGCGGGUUGCUACGUACGAGAACGGACGCUCGAAGCCCCUUAGGACACCAUGGGAAGAACACAACCCAUCUUUUUUAUUUUUUCUCACGUUCUUUCUCUCUCUGUUGCCCUCUCUGACUUCACCUUAUUUUUGGUUUUUCUCUGACAGACUCUCUAUUCAUCUCUUUUUUAAUCUCCUCCCCCUGACUUCAUUUUUUCUUGUUUCUCUCUGACGAGCGUCUCUCCCUUUUUUAAUCUCUUCCUUUCUCUCCAGUCGUGUGUCUCUCUACGAACUCUCUUUUUUUAAUAGUUCUCACAAACCUCUCCAGGGAAUUUUUUCUCUCGAGCUCUCUCUUUUUAAGCCGAGGAUCCUUGCUUAUUUAUAGGCAACAACCGACUUUGGUUGAUUUUAUCCAGAGAAAAAGUGAAGAGCUUGGCUGUGCAUCUUUGGAGCAAGGUGAGGUUGUUGGCAAUGUCGGCAACAAAGUCGUUUUAGGUCCUAAGGGAAGUUGGAAGGCCAGUGCUCUCAGCAGCUUCUCUUAGCUGAUUCCUGAAGAGUCCUCGUGUGCCUUACUAUAAUAGCAAGCUCACUCGAGUGCUACAGAGUUCUUUGGGUAUAUAUCUAUUAUCAAGACUGAAGGGCUUGAGAUAUCACAACCAGCCCUUGAUCCAAUGAAAUCAGAGGUGCAUCACCAAAUCACUGCACGUGGGAGGAGAACAGUUAUUCCCAGGUGAUCUUAUGUCCUACUAUCUUUUGCCAAAGUUUGACUCCAAGACCUGUUUGAUCUCACAAGUGCCUCUUGCUAUACAUAUUAUUCUUCCAAGUCAUUUUGCUUAUUGUUGGAUUGUGCUAACCUCUGUCUAGUGAUGGAUGGUCUCAAAUGCAAAUAUGGAACCAGCAAGCUCACUCAAUUUGUUUAUUAUUGCUUCUAAAAUGCUGUUUGUAUUAUAUUCUCUUCGAUGAAUGACAAGUUUGUUUAUUAUUGCUGCUCAAAUACGAAAUUAGCACUGGGGACGACUUUUCUAAAAUGUGAUUCCCAUCUUGCCAAUCUCAAUCUCUGCAGAAUCAGUCAUGGUUGAUGCAGCAGCUUCCGCAAUAGCAGUCGAAGCGUACAAGGAUGGACGUGGCAUUUUUGGCUACCUCAGUAAAAAAUUUGACUAUGCUGACGAUUUCAAGGUCAAUUUUGAGAAGAUGACCGACCAAGCAAAAAUGCUAUAUGCAAGAAGGGAUGAUGUAGAGGCAGAAAUAAACAGAAACAAGAUGAAGAGGGUUACCAAGGAAUGUGAAGCCUGGAUUGACAGGGUCAAGGUGGCCGAACAAGAAGUACUCAAUUUGGAAAGCAAGUACAUGAAAGAGAUCGUGCGUGCUUGGAGAUACACUCGAAUCUGGUCACGUGCUAAUCUGAGCAAGCAUAUGGCCACAAAGCGUGAGGAAUUGCGAGUCCUCUUAGAAGAAGGAAAGCUUGAUAAUGGGGUGGUAGCUGAAAGAUCCCCGGAGCACGUGAGAGUCAUUGAUACUUGCGGGAUUGAGGAUAAGCCUUCACUAAACUGGGCUGUUGAAGAGAUUUUGGGUAAUUUGAAGGAGAGAAAAAUCAACAGGAUCGGACUCUGGGGAAUGGUGGGAACUGGGAAAACUACGGUGAUGCAGAAUCUGAAUAAUAAUAAAGAAGUUCAGAAAAUGUUUGAUAUUGUCAUUUGGGUAUCAGUGUCGAAGGCCUAGAGCAUUGAAAAGGUGCAAGAUGCAAUCACGCAGCGUCUGAAGCUGAGAUUGGAGGGCGGAGCAAACGCAGUUGAGACAGCUCAACUUAUAUCAAAUGAGUUGGGAGGUAUGAGGUAUUUACUUCUCCUUGAUGAAGUUUGGGAUCCUUUUGAUCUCCAUGAGAUAGGUAUUCCCAACAAUGAUAAUGGCAGCAAGGUGGUAUUUGCAAGUAGAUUCCGUGCUGUGUGUCAUGAAAUGGAUGCUGACGAGUUUGUCAAUAUGAAGCGUUUAUCCGAUGCCGAUGCAUAUGAAAUGUUCAAAGAAAAAGUAGGUCGAACUAUGGAAGAUCCAAGCAUUGUAGCAGUAGCAAAACUUGUGGUUAGAGAGUGUGCUGGUUUGCCACUUGUAAUUGAUAGAGUGGCGAAAGUUUUUGGAAAGAAGGAUGACGUUUCUCUCUGGAGAGAUGAAUUGAGACGUUUGCAGAGAUGGCCGAGUAUCAAAAUCCAAGGCAUGAAUGAAAUGCUCGAAUUCCUCAAGUUCUGUUACGAGGAUUUAGAUGGGGAGGAUCAAAAGGUUUGCUUUCUUUAUGGAGCAUUGUUUCCCGAAGACUCUGACAUAUUUGUGGACUAUCUGGUGGAAUGUUGGAAGGCGGAGGGAUUUCUCCAUAGCUUUGAUGAGUUUCGAGAUGCACGUGAUAGAGGGCACAACAUAUUGGAUAAUCUGAUUAAGGUAUCUUUAUUAGAAAAAAGUGUGAUGAAGAGACAUGUCCGAAUGAACAAAGUACUUCAUAAUAUGGCUCUUAAAAUUUCACGAGGAGUCUCAGACCAUAAGAUCCUGGCAAGACCAUGCGAGGGGCUAAAAAAGCCGCCAAAGGAAGAAGAAUGGAUAUCUGCAAGUCGAAUUUCUUUGAUAGAUAAUGACUUGUGCAGUUUACCGGCAACUUCAAAUUGCAAAAAUCUUUCGACUUUACUCUUGCAAAGAAACAAGAAUUUAAUGAAUAUCCCAGAGAGCUUCUUCUUGUCUAUGCAAAGACUCCGAGUAUUGGACUUACAUGCUACGGCAAUAACAUCCCUUCCACCUUCUUUGCCUUGCUUGACUCAUCUCAGGGCACUCUACUUGAAUUCAUGCAAGGGCUUAAUAGAAAUACCUUCAAGCUUAGAGGCACUGGUGCAUCUAGAGGUGCUUGACAUUCGACGCACCGGAAUCAGCGCUUUACCUAUUCAAGUUGGAAGUUUAACGCAGAUGAGAUGUUUGCGCAUGUCAUUGUCAAAUUUUGACGCCACAAACCCAAUGUCCAUGGUGAUUUCGAGCAUUUCAUCAUUAGAAGAACUCAUGAUUGAUGUAGACCCGAACACUUCGUGGUCUGAUCAGGUCAUGAGGACUAUCACGGAGGAGGUUUCUACCUUGACACGGUUGACUUCACUCACAUUUUCCUUUCCUAAAUAGAGUGCCUUGAAAUCUUCGUCAGAUCAAGCCCUUUAUGGAAGGACCUGCGGUUCACAUUUCAGUUUUCGGUUGGUAUUUGCAAUUCGGUCAAGCAUCAUAUUCUUGAUUAUUUUGAAUAUCAAUUGUGCAAGUGCUUGAAGUACGCAAACGAUGAAGGCAAACAUGAUGUGAUCUCAAAAGUACUUGCUAAGACCGAAGUGUUUGAACUGAUUGAUCACAAGAAUAUAGAGAGCUUAUCAGAUUUUGGGACUGAGAACUUGAGUGAACUCGGAGAUUGUUCAGUGGAGGGCUGCAAGGACAUUACAUGCAUCAUCGAUGGUAACGGAGCACCAGAUUAUGCAUUCAAACUAGAGAGAAUGGUCAUAAACAAUGCCUCAAAAUUGGAUUGUAUUUGGGAGGGUUCCGUGACCGUGGGAAGCUUAGGCCGAAUGACUAGUUUGACCUUUUUCAAUUGCCCUGAGCUCAAGAACGUAUUCUCAAAUGGAUUGAUUGAGCAACUAUCCAUGCUAAAGCAUUUGAGUGUCGAAAACUGCAGCAAAAUUGAGGAGAUCAUCAUUGAAACUGAGAAUCCUUGCUUGGACCCUAGAACACUCCCGAGUCUUGAAACGCUAGUACUUCAUGAGCUUCCGAAUUUAAGAAGCAUUGCUCCAGAUGACUUAUUGAUUUGGCCUUCUCUAAAGAGACUAGAUAUAGCUUCAUGUCCAUCUUUGUUGAAACUUCCUUUUACCAGGAUAAAUGCUACCAAUUAAGAUCCAUUGAUGCCGAGCAAUCAUUGUGGUCUACAUUGGUGUGGCAAGACGAUGCUAUCAAGGAAAGAUUACGGUCCUUUUGUAGCUUCACUUAGCUUGUCUCUGUAGCUCUUUGCUUCUUAUUCAUCUUAUUUGUCGUGAUUGGAAUUAUGUAUUAACAUAGGCUUUCGUUUUGUUUCUCUGCAUGCACGAUCUAUUAAAUGACUAUAUUCACCGAUGAGGUGAUGCAAAUGAUAAAAAGAACAAUUCCAAGUGUUUUUUCUAAGAUCCCUUGUUGCAAUAUUCAGCUUCUUUAGCAUUGCAAACUGUAGUUGCUUUUUGUAAGGAAAUAGUGAAAUAAAUGUAGUCUCUUCUCAAUA